UAACACAUGCAAGUCGAGCGAGAAAGCACUUCGGUGUGAGUAGAGCGGCGGACGGGUGAGUAACGCGUAGGAAUUUGCCCAGUAGUGGGGGACAACAUGUGGAAACGCAUGCUAAUACCGCAUACGCCCUAUGGGGGAAAGCAGGGGAUCUUCGGACCUUGCGCUAUUGGAGAAGCCUGCGUCGGAUUAGCUAGUUUGGUGGGGUAAAGGCCACCAAGGCGACGAUCCGUAGCUGGUCUGAGAGGAUGAUCAGCCACACUGGGACUGAGACACGGCCCAGACUCCUACGGGAGGCAGCAGUGGGGAAUAUUGGACAAUGGGGGCAACCCUGAUCCAGCCAUGCCGCGUGUGUGAAGAAGGCCUUAGGGUUGUAAAGCACUUUCAGUAGGGAGGAAAAGUUAAUGGUUAAUAAACUUGGUAAUUGACGUUAACCACAGAAGAAGGACCGGCUAACUCCGUGCCAGCAGCCGCGGUAAUACGGAGGGUCCGAGCGUUAAUCGGAAUUACUGGGCGUAAAGCGCGCGUAGGUGGUUGUGUAAGUGGAAUGUGAAAGCCCUGGGCUCAACCUGGGAACUGCAUACGAAACUGCGUAGGUAAGGUGGAUGUGAAAGCCCCGGGCUUAACCUGGGAACUGCAGUUGAUACUGCGCAACUAGAGUACGAUAGAGGGGGGUAGAAUUUCAGGUGUAGCGGUGAAAUGCGUAGAGAUCUGAAGGAAUACCAGUGGCGAAGGCGGCCCCCUGGAUUGAUACUGACACUGAGGUGCGAAAGCGUGGGUAGCAAACAGGAUUAGAUACCCUGGUAGUCCAUGCCGUAAACGAUGUCAACUAGCUGUUGGAAGACUUGAUCUUUUAGUGGCGCAGCUAACGCAAUAAGUUGACCGCCUGGGGAGUACGGCCGCAAGGUUAAAACUCAAAUGAAUUGACGGGGGCCCGCACAAGCGGUGGAGCAUGUGGUUUAAUUCGAAGCAACGCGAAGAACCUUACCUACUCUUGACAUCCCCAGAACUUUCCAGAGAUGGAUUGGUGCCUUCGGGAACUCUGAGACAGGUGCUGCAUGGCUGUCGUCAGCUCGUGUUGUGAAAUGUUGGGUUAAGUCCCGUAACGAGCGCAACCCUUAUCCUUAGUUACCAGCACGUAAUGGUGGGAACUCUAAGGAGACUGCCGGUGACAAACCGGAGGAAGGUGGGGAUGACGUCAAGUCAUCAUGGCCCUUACGAGUAGGGCUACACACGUGCUACAAUGGCCGGUACAGAGGGCUGCAAACCUGCGAAGGUAAGCUAAUCUCACAAAACCGGUCGCAGUCCGGAUCGGAGUCUGCAACUCGACUCCGUGAAGUCGGAAUCGCUAGUAAUCGUGGAUCAGAAUGCCACGGUGAAUACGUUCCCGGGCCUUGUACACACCGCCCGUCACACCAUGGGAGUGGAUUGCACCAGAAGUAGAUAGUCUAACCUUCGGGAGG
This 1460-nucleotide ribosomal RNA is filed under the name uncultured prokaryote. RNAcentral describes it as "partial 16S ribosomal RNA". It matches the Rfam family "Bacterial small subunit ribosomal RNA". The record is from RNAcentral.